Molecule: long non-coding RNA, 1248 nt
Organism: Ictalurus punctatus (channel catfish)
Lineage: Eukaryota; Metazoa; Chordata; Actinopteri; Siluriformes; Ictaluridae
Source: Ensembl
GUAACGUUCACAUAAACAGUAAAGUGAUGAAAUAAUUUUUGUUGACUCUAGGUAUUCUGCUAAAGCUAGCGGUGUCACAUUACUUGCGUUUGACGUUGUGCGCCAUCGACUGGGAAACGGCUUAUACUUCUGGUUAGUAAAAAAAGGCUAGUGUUCCAUUUGAGACGAUAUUACCAUUCUAAAUACAUACACUAGACGAUACAGUACAUAGUGCAUAGUAUAAGUGUAUAGUAUGUCAUUUAGGACACAACUUUAGUAUUUACUCUCUGAAGCAUGUUUUCGGAACAGAAGUAAUGCAGGGUAUCCCAUGCCCUGCGCAGACCAACUAAUCAAUAACGAUACUCGCUUACAAUGAUUUUCAUAAUCGAUUAUUAUCAGUUUGAUUGAUUAGUUUUAGUUGUUGCAGUUCUAAGUCUUUUGAUAACAAUCGGUUGCAGACAGCUAGAUAACUUUUAAUCCUUGAGUAACACAUUUUAAACCUACAUUGAUUCCCACUUUCUGAUCUUAUUAUCUCUAGAAUUUUUUAUAGUAUUACAUUUACACUUCUUUGAUACUCCCGCCUCCCUCUUUUUGAUUGUGUAACUGACAUAAAUUCCAGCCAAUCAGUUCUUAACAACUGGGAAACAGAUACUUACUCCAGAAAUGCCAACUUUUCUUGCACUGAAACUGCCCACUACUAGUUGCUACUGAUUUUUGAAGGAAUUUUGGUUUGAAGACCGUGCGCAUUACACUAAAAAGCACUAGGCAGCAUAUUGAAUGUCAAAAUUAAAAUUUUUAAUGGGUUAUUUGACACAUUAUAAUGCACAGAAAAUAAGCAUACAGUACAUACUCACAGGAAAUCAGCCACAUGAUCCAAAUGGUGUACAACCUAUACACCGGAUACAUCAAUCACAUGCUACUGGUUUUUUGGGGUUUUUUUUUUUUUUUUUUUUUUUUUUUGUAUGCACAUAUUUUGGGAAGUGAUAAUUUGGGAAAAGACAGUUCAAGCAAUGUUUACUGCUUUUAAAGUAUGUUUAUAAGCACUUUAUUUUGUAUAGCUACUCACUAUGUUCAGAAAUGUUACUGUUAAAUCUGAUAAACACUGUACGUUAAAAUAAUUUAAGACCCUUUAAGACUGAACACUUCUGUCACAUAACACAAAAAUUUCAAGUCCAGAAUUUAUUUUCUUGCUUGUGCAGAAUCUUGUUCAGUUGUGAAGAAUGACAAAAUGCAUUUUAUAUUUGCACAUAUUAUAAAAUAGGCCUGAAG